RNAcentral lists this long non-coding RNA (235 nucleotides) under Struthio camelus australis. RNAcentral's name for it is "lncRNA (ENSSCUG00000013933.1)". The record is from RNAcentral. Lineage: Eukaryota; Metazoa; Chordata; Aves; Struthioniformes; Struthionidae.
UAAUCGCGUGAGAUGCUAUGGUGAGAAUGUAAGAAGAGGACGAUGUUGAUCAGUGAAAGCUGGUGGGAUGUGCAUUGUUUAGAAGCACCACAGCAGUGGAGAGCACUUCACCCAGGAGAAGAGCAAAGACUCCAGAGGAUGGGAGUAUGGCAGCCCUCCAGAGCAAACUCUCAUCGUAUCAGGAGCUGUAGUGAAGGUAAGAUGGCCCGGUAGUGGUUUGUACUGUUAUCAUUAA